RNAcentral lists this ribosomal RNA (477 nucleotides) under Candidatus Scalindua brodae. RNAcentral's name for it is "bacterial SSU rRNA". It matches the Rfam family "Bacterial small subunit ribosomal RNA", at positions 365 to 832 of the family's 1533-position model. The record is from RNAcentral. Lineage: Bacteria; Pseudomonadati; Planctomycetota; Candidatus Brocadiia; Candidatus Brocadiales; Candidatus Scalinduaceae.
UUCGCAAUGCCCGAAAGGGUGACGAAGCGACGCCGCGUGGGUGAGGAAGGCCUUCGGGUUGUAAAGCCCUGUCAGGAGUUAAGAAAUGUAAGUGCGCUAAUAUCGCAUUUAUUUGACGAAGGCUCCAAAGGAAGUCACGGCUAACUCUGUGCCAGCAGCCGCGGUAAUACAGAGGUGGCAAGCGUUGUUCGGAAUUAUUGGGCGUAAAGAGCACGUAGGUGGGUUUGUAAGUCAGAUGUGAAAGCCUCCUGUUCAACGGAAGAAUUGCAUCUGAAACUGCGAGUCUUGAGUGUAGGAGGGGAGAAUGGAACUUCUGGUGGAGCGGUGAAAUGCGUAGAUAUCAGAAGGAACGCCGGCGGCGAAAGCGAUUCUCUGGCCUAUUACUGACACUCAGUGUGCGAAAGCUAGGGGAGCAAACGGGAUUAGAUACCCCGGUAGUCCCAGCCGUAAACGAUGGGCACUAAGUAGAGGGGUUUU